GAUUCGUCACACUAUCAUUAACUGAAUCCAUAGGUUAAUGAGGCGAACCGGGGGAACUGAAACAUCUAAGUACCCCGAGGAAAAGAAAUCAACCGAGAUUCCCCCAGUAGCGGCGAGCGAACGGGGAGGAGCCCAGAGCCUGAAUCAGCAUGUGUGUUAGUGGAAGCGUCUGGAAAGGCGCGCGAUACAGGGUGACAGCCCCGUACACAAAAGCGCAUGUGCUGUGAGCUCGAUGAGUAGGGCGGGACACGUGGUAUCCUGUCUGAAUAUGGGGGGACCAUCCUCCAAGGCUAAAUACUCCUGACUGACCGAUAGUGAACCAGUACCGUGAGGGAAAGGCGAAAAGAACCCCGGCGAGGGGAGUGAAAAAGAACCUGAAACCGUGUACGUACAAGCAGUGGGAGCACCCUUCGGGGUGUGACUGCGUACCUUUUGUAUAAUGGGUCAGCGACUU
This 454-nucleotide ribosomal RNA is filed under the name Salmonella enterica subsp. enterica. Its description in RNAcentral is "partial 23S ribosomal RNA". It matches the Rfam family "Bacterial large subunit ribosomal RNA", at positions 137 to 629 of the family's 2925-position model. RNAcentral also lists the same sequence under 1 other name. The record is from RNAcentral. Lineage: Bacteria; Pseudomonadati; Pseudomonadota; Gammaproteobacteria; Enterobacterales; Enterobacteriaceae.